GAGGGUAUAGCUCAAGUGAUAGAGUGCAUGCUUAGCAUGCAUGAGGUCCUGGGUUCAAUCCCCAGUGCUUCCU
Molecule: transfer RNA, 73 nt
Filed under: Camelus bactrianus (Bactrian camel)
Lineage: Eukaryota; Metazoa; Chordata; Mammalia; Artiodactyla; Camelidae
Also listed under: 2 other names
Rfam family: tRNA
About the family: Transfer RNA (tRNA) molecules are approximately 80 nucleotides in length. Their secondary structure includes four short double-helical elements and three loops (D, anti-codon, and T loops).
Source: Rfam by way of RNAcentral